Molecule: ribosomal RNA, 250 nt
Filed under: uncultured Opitutus sp.
Lineage: Bacteria; Pseudomonadati; Verrucomicrobiota; Opitutia; Opitutales; Opitutaceae
Description: partial 16S ribosomal RNA
Rfam family: Bacterial small subunit ribosomal RNA
Source: RNAcentral
UACAGAGACUGCAAGCGUUAUUCGGAUUCACUGGGCGUAAAGGGUGCGCAGGCGGUUUUGUGUGUCAGGUGUGAAAGCCCGGAGCUUAACUCCGGAAUUGCGCCUGAAACUACAGAACUAGAGCAUUGGAGAGGGUAGCGGAAUUCACGGUGUAGCAGUGAAAUGCGUAGAUAUCGUGAGGAACACCAGAGGCGAAGGCGGCUACCUGGACAAUUGCUGACGCUCAGGCACGAAAGCGUGGGGAGCAAAA